GUUGUAAUCUGUAGAGGGUGUUUCGGGUGCGGCUCUGGUUUAAGUUCCUUGGAACAGGGCGUCAUAGAGGGUGAGAACCCCGUCUGCAACCAGUGGCUUAGCCUAUGUGAAACCCCUUCGACGAGUCGAGUUGUUUGGGAAUGCAGCUCCAAAUGGGUGGUAAAUUUCAUCUAAAGCUAAAUAUUGGCCGGAGACCGAUAGCGCACAAGUAGAGUGAUCGAAAGAUGAAAAGCACUUUGGAAAGAGAGUUAAAUAGUACGUGAAAUUGUUGAAAGGGAAGCGCUUGCGACCAGACCUGCGCGUAGGUGAUUAGUUAGUAAAGUUACUAGUGCACUCACCUAUAGCCAGGCCAGCAUCGGUUUCGGCGGCGGGACAAAAGCGUGGAGAAUGUAACUCUCUCUUUGGGGGAGUACUUAUAGCUCGUCAUGAAAUGCCGCCAGCUGAGACCGAGGACCGCGCUUUUUAGCUAGGAUGCUGGCAUAAUGGUUGCAAGCGACCCGUCUUGAAACACGGACCAAGGAGUCUAACAUCUAUGCGAGUGUUUGGGUGUCAAACCCAGGCGCGGAAUGAAAGUGAACGGAGGUGGGAACCCUUAAAAGGGCUGCACCAUCGACCGAUCCGGAUGUCUUCGGAUGGAUUUGAGUAUGAGCAUAGCUGUUGGGACCCGAAAGAUGGUGAACUAUGCCUGAACAGGGUGAAGCCAGAGGAAACUCUGGUGGAAGCUCGCAGCGGUUCU
This 736-nucleotide ribosomal RNA is filed under the name Peltigera sp. 8 NM-2016. RNAcentral's name for it is "eukaryotic LSU rRNA". It matches the Rfam family "Eukaryotic large subunit ribosomal RNA", at positions 142 to 887 of the family's 3401-position model. The record is from RNAcentral. Lineage: Eukaryota; Fungi; Ascomycota; Lecanoromycetes; Peltigerales; Peltigeraceae.